Molecule: non-coding RNA, 29 nt
Filed under: Mus musculus (house mouse)
Lineage: Eukaryota; Metazoa; Chordata; Mammalia; Rodentia; Muridae
Source: RNAcentral
UAGAACUCUCUGUGUAGACCAGGCUGGCC